This 425-nucleotide ribosomal RNA is filed under the name uncultured bacterium. Its description in RNAcentral is "bacterial SSU rRNA". It matches the Rfam family "Bacterial small subunit ribosomal RNA", at positions 354 to 796 of the family's 1533-position model. The record is from RNAcentral.
GUGGGGAAUCUUAGACAAUGGGGGAAACCCUGAUCUAGCCAUGCCGCGUGAGCGAUGAAGGCCUUAGGGUUGUAAAGCUCUUUCAGAGGGGAAGAUAAUGACGGUACCCUCAGAAGAAGCCCCGGCUAACUCCGUGCCAGCAGCCGCGGUAAUACGGAGGGGGCUAGCGUUGUUCGGAAUUACUGGGCGUAAAGCGCACGUAGGCGGACCAGAAAGUCAGGGGUGAAAUCCCGGGGCUCAACCACGGAACUGCCUUUGAAACUCCUGGUCUUGAGGUCGAGAGAGGUGAGUGGAAUUCCGAGUGUAGAGGUGAAAUUCGUAGAUAUUCGGAGGAACACCAGUGGCGAAGGCGGCUCACUGGCUCGAUACUGACGCUGAGGUGCGAAAGCGUGGGGAGCAAACAGGAUUAGAUACCCGGGUAGUCC